GGGUGGUAUCGGAAUUACUGGGCGUAAGCGUGCGCAGGCGGUUUUGUAAGACAGGCGUGAAAUCCCCGGGCUCAACCUGGGAACUGCGCUUGUGACUGCAAGGCUAGAGUAUGGCAGAGGGGGGUGGAAUUCCACGUGUAGCAGUGAAAUGCGUAGAGAUGUGGAGGAACACCAAUGGCGAAGGCAGCCCCCUGGGCCAAUACUGACGCUCAUGCACGAAAGCGUGGGUAGCAAACAGGAUUGGAUACCCUGGUAGUCCACGCCCUAAACGAUGUCAACUAGGUGUUGGGUGGGUAAAACCAUUUAGUACCGGAGCUAACGCGUGAAGUUGACCGCCUGGGGAGUACGGCCGCAAGGUUAAAACUCAAAGGAAUUGACGGGGACCCGCACAAGCGGUGGGUGAUGUGGAUUAAUUCGAUGCAACGCGAAAAACCUUACCUACCCUUGACAUGUUCAGAAGCCUGAAGAGAUUUGGGUGUGCCCGAAAGGGAACUGGAACACAGGUGCUGCAUGGCUGUCGUCAGCUCGUGUCGUGAGAUGUUGGGUUAAGUCCCGCAACGAGCGCAACCCUUAUCCCUAGUUGCCAGCGGGUCAAGCCGGGCACUCUAGUGAAACCGCCCCGGAUAACGGGGAGGAAGGUGGGGAUGACGUCAAGUCCUCAUGGCCUUUAUGUCCAGGGCUACACACGUGCUACAAUGGCCGAUACAAACCGUCGCAAACCCGCGAGGGGGAGCUAAUCGGAAAAAGUCGGCCCCAGUUCGGAUUGCAGUCUGCAACUCGACUGCAUGAAGCUGGAAUCGCUAGUAAUCGCGGAUCAGAACGCCGCGGUGAAUACGUUCCCGGGCCUUGUACACACCGCCCGUCACAUCACGAAAGUGGGCUGUACUAGAAGCCGGUGCGCUAACCGCAAGGAAGCAGCCGUCCAAAGUAUAACUCAUGAUUGGGUGAAGUCGUAACAAGUAAC
RNAcentral lists this ribosomal RNA (964 nucleotides) under uncultured bacterium. Its description in RNAcentral is "bacterial SSU rRNA". It matches the Rfam family "Bacterial small subunit ribosomal RNA", at positions 536 to 1499 of the family's 1533-position model. The record is from RNAcentral.